ACCAGCAGCCAUAUCACCCUGCAGCUCACAGCUGGCAGCCCCCUGGAGCUCAGCAGGGGUGAGCCUGGCCAGUAGCUGGAUGGGAGACUCCUGGGAAAAACUAAGGCUGCUGCUGGAA
RNAcentral lists this ribosomal RNA (118 nucleotides) under Lepisosteus oculatus (spotted gar). The record is from RNAcentral. Lineage: Eukaryota; Metazoa; Chordata; Actinopteri; Semionotiformes; Lepisosteidae.